UAAGGACUGUGUCAGUUUUGAAGGGUUUAACGUAGGCGGCAUCAACCUCAACAACUGUCAGCUGAUGACCAGCAAUCUUGAAGAAGAGCUCUUCAUUAAGUGCAGCAUUGAUUAUCCUAAGCAUGUAGGUCUUGCCGGAACGUACUGGUAAGGUAAAUCCCCCUGCAGUUCAAGCAAAAUAAGGAUUCAAUAAGUUUCCAACUAAACGAUAUAUAUAAUCUUGUGCUGGGUUUGAAACUCUGCAAAAAGUCUCAGUUUUGCUUAUUGGCGUUAAGAUGUUAUAUUCUAUUUGUUGGGGUUUUAAUUUGAACCUUGUGAAGGGCAGGUUGAGACAGGUCCUGGAUGGCCAUUAAUGGUGUGAGCAUCUGAGACAUUUGGUGCCAACCCAGAUUUCAUGGCUUCAUUGACCACAGCUUCAACAUCUGAUUUCCACCAUUCACCUACAACUCCAAAAAAUUUCAUAUCAUUAUCAUCU
RNAcentral lists this long non-coding RNA (475 nucleotides) under Manihot esculenta (cassava). RNAcentral's name for it is "long non-coding RNA (MESC_LNC000564)". Lineage: Eukaryota; Viridiplantae; Streptophyta; Magnoliopsida; Malpighiales; Euphorbiaceae. The record is from RNAcentral.